RNAcentral lists this unclassified non-coding RNA (354 nucleotides) under Hevea brasiliensis (rubber tree). Lineage: Eukaryota; Viridiplantae; Streptophyta; Magnoliopsida; Malpighiales; Euphorbiaceae. The record is from RNAcentral.
GAUAAUUAUUAAUAAUUUUUAGGCAUAAUUUAGGUGAGAUAGGGUCGAAGAUAGCUCACCAGCGCCGGGAUCGCAUUUUCUGCCAGAUUCGACUGUUCGGCGGCCUGUCUCGGAACGUGGCCGAUAUUAUAAUCAAUCUUAACAUUUUCAGACGUUCUUGACGCGUUCCAAGUGUUAGAUUUAGCAUAAAUAAAUCCAAACUCUAAGUUGCUCAAUUUUUACCUCAUACUGGGUUUAGAAUAAAAUUCAUAAAAUAAUUAUGGGUAGUUAGAAAAUUGUAAUUACUUUUGAAAUAGCCUUACAAUAUUGUUAAGGACCGCUGGGCAAGUUUAUAAUAUUUUCAAAGUUAGUUUG